This 1799-nucleotide unclassified non-coding RNA is filed under the name Hevea brasiliensis (rubber tree). Lineage: Eukaryota; Viridiplantae; Streptophyta; Magnoliopsida; Malpighiales; Euphorbiaceae. The record is from RNAcentral.
UUUUUUUUUUUUUUUUUUUGGAAAAAAAUGCACAGCAUUUCAUUAAUAAUACAAGGCUACAAGCAAGGGGAUGCCCCCUAUGGAAAACAUUAUGAACUGACCAAGGAAAAAAGUCAAAUAUAGAAUCCCAUGCUCUAUAAAAGCUCACAAAGUAAAGCCAAGUACUGUUAGCCCAGAAGGAAAUAUAUACAUCGUACAUUAUAUUUGAGCCAAUUGCAGAUCCUCUAGCUCCUCCAAAAAUCCUCCUCUCGAAAGAUGUCAUAAAUGCUAAGAGACUCAUCCGAUACUACAAUUAACUCUGCCAACCAUGGAUACCAAGAGUCAACCAAGUUACAAAAGAUUCUCUGGCAGACUCCGAGACAAUUUGAACGAACUGCAAAAGAGGUUUAACUUGUUGUUCUGUUAAGACCCUGUUCUGGUUCGGCUACCAGGACUAGAAACAGUCCUCACACUAAGAGAUUCAGAUGAACUAUGCAAGUCCCGCUGACUGGAUGAAGCACUUCCUCGGAGACCAUGAGAUGGAACAUGGCGGGGAGAUCUGGAAGAUGGCUCACUCCCUCUAAAAGUUUCAGUCUCCAACAUCUUGGCUUCAUCAAUCAGCAUUGAUAACCGAAUUUCAUUCUCUCUCAAGCGAUCUUGGAGUGCAUUUAUAGCAGGACUUAAACAAUAUUCGAUCAAUUUGCACAUGGAAGCUUGAUAAGUUGCUGUGUGAUGUAUGAAGGUAAGGGGGUGUACUUUUCCAUCCCUCAAAUUUUGCAAGAUAGCUUGGUUAUAUGCUCCCCGCUCCUCUUCAUAUAAUACACGUUGCAAAUCCGUGAAUGACGUUAGAGGUGAAUCUAGCUUAAGAAGAGACCAUGUUGGCAAAACAUGAAGAGGAAUUUCUUUUCUGAUGUAUUCUGCACCACUCAUUUCCAAAUUUGAGCGGUGCAUAGCUUCUUGCAUACUUUCUGACAUAUCCAUGGGGUCGAUAUCAACAAAUGUGUUGUCUGAAUUGGCAGUGUGGUAGUUGCCUCCUAUUCUCUCUCUCCCAACAUAGUUGGCAUCAGCAUUUGCAAAGAAAUCCCCCAAGUCCAAAGAUUUUACCCCACCCUUACUUGAUCCUGCAGUUGUUCUUGAAUCACCAGUGUCUUGCUCUGGGUUCUCUACUCUUGCAGAUCCAGAUCUUGCUGAUGUAUUUUCUGAGGAACUUAAUGAUGACUCAACAUCUAUGUAACUUCUAUUCACAGGUGAUACAGAAAUUGGUCUUGAUAUGUUAUUUUGCUUUCCAUCUGACGACUGGAAAGCAAUGACUUGGAUUCUUCCAACCUUAUUUACAUCUUCACUGAAACAUGAAAAUAUCAGCCCGAUAAAGCCAGGAUCUAGAAGUUGAUACAUUGCCUGCGUUCGCACAUCUACAUGAGAAGGUAAAACUGUAAUAUGAGGAUGUGAAUGGUACCACCCUAUCACCCUUGUUGUCCGUCCUGUUGAUGUGGUCAUUCUCUCAGCCUGAGCUGAUGCAGCAGCCAACUGUUCUGGAUUUGUCUCUACACGAUCCUUUCGCCGAUCAGAUCUUGACUGAGGUGAAGCUCCCCAGAUUAGUGCAGUUACACCCCCAUUUUUAGAGUACUCAAUAUCACCAAGAAGAAGGCCCAUAAUCUCCUCAGUCUCUGUAGACAAUGCAUGGGUGAGGCACGUUAACCAGACAUCAUCAGACAUUUUAACGCUUGUUAGAGACAUAUUGAAAAUCCGAUAAGCCUGAGAUUUCCGAAGAGAUCUUUGAGCUUUCUCUUUUAUCUGCGUGGGUUUUGGAGAAGAGUCCU